RNAcentral lists this long non-coding RNA (1083 nucleotides) under Anser brachyrhynchus (Pink-footed goose). Its description in RNAcentral is "lncRNA (ENSABRG00000021005.1)". The record is from RNAcentral. Lineage: Eukaryota; Metazoa; Chordata; Aves; Anseriformes; Anatidae.
AUGCAUGCUGGCAGCCAAGCGCAGGUCACCUCCGUGGCACGGGGACAAGGUCCCAGGCAGCAGCAGCAGGGAAGGGCCAGGCUGGGGUGGCACCGCAGGGGUGGGCUCUCUCAGCAGUGCUGCACAGGAGGCCUGAGGCAUGCACAGGGAGAUGCAGCAAAGCAGGCACUGGCAGACUGGAAGGACUCAGAGAAGAGCAGAGCAAAUGACCGACGACCUGGGAAGCCCGCCAGGAGAAGGAGGAAGCAGCUCCCUCUGUUUACCCAUCACUGGGAAGGUCAAGAGGUGACGGGAUCACACUCUGCCGAGGCCCACGCCGGGACAUCCCUGAGAGCAAAGGGUUGCGUCCCCAGCACAGGGGCAGGAGAAGGUCUGUUGGGUCCCAUGGUUUCAGGCACUGGGCUCCGCUCCCUCCCCAUCUCCCUGGGGCCCCAGCACACACAGGCCAGAGCCUGGCUUCCCGCACCGGCCCUUUCGCAAUCCUGGCCGCCUGGACUGGCCUCCUUCGUUCUCCUGCUUCCCAGCAGCCCAGGGGUGCUGGAGCUGAGGGUUGUGACAGCCCUGCCUCGCUGGGGCAGGACCGGCUGGACCCGCCGGCAGGGACCCCACAGGAUAGGAGGCACAGGAGAAGCACAGCCAAGUCCAGGGGCCCCAGGGCUCCCAGCUGAACUGCUCCCAGUGGCACCGAGGAACAACCCAGGGCCACCCCAGCAGCCCCACCACACUGGCAGGCUCGGUGACACCUCCCUACACCACCACCUCCUGGUGGGGCUCGCUGGGGGCUCGCUGCCCCUGGCUGACCAGAAAGAAGGCUGUGUGCCUGUGCCUGCUGUCCCACUGCAUGUCCCUGUCCCAGGCGGUGAUGGGGACACUGCUGUAGACACCACGCCCCGACUCUGUGGCUGUCCUGAGUGCCAGCUGGGGACAGAGCACCUGAGUGCACUCACCAGGUCCAGCGCACUGGUUCAAGCAGUCCUGAGCCCUUUGGACUGUCUGAUGUCCCCUGUUCUGCUGUCAGCCUCUAAGCCAGGGCAGCACACAGCGCAGCUCUUUGCAGUUCCUAACACCACUGGGUUUCCCUGA